RNAcentral lists this transfer RNA (58 nucleotides) under Onchocerca lupi. RNAcentral's name for it is "tRNA-Cys". The record is from RNAcentral. Lineage: Eukaryota; Metazoa; Nematoda; Chromadorea; Rhabditida; Onchocercidae.
GGGUCUAUAGUAUAAUUAGUAAUACUUUUGAUUGCAGAUCAAUUUAAUUUUUGGCCUU